This 428-nucleotide ribosomal RNA is filed under the name uncultured bacterium. Its description in RNAcentral is "partial 16S ribosomal RNA". It matches the Rfam family "Bacterial small subunit ribosomal RNA", at positions 354 to 796 of the family's 1533-position model. The record is from RNAcentral.
GUGGGGAAUAUUGGGCAAUGGGCGGAAGCCUGACCCAGCGACGCCGCGUGGGGGAAGAAGUCUUUCGGGAUGUAAACCCUUGUUGUACGGGACGAAGGAAGUGACGGUACCGUACGAGGAAGCCCCGGCAAACUACGUGCCAGCAGCCGCGGUAAUACGUAGGGGGCGAGCGUUGUCCGGAAUCACUGGGCGUAAAGCGCACGUAGGCGGGCUGUCAAGUCGGCCGUGAAAGGCACGGGCUCAACCUGUGCAUGUCGGUCGAUACUGGCGGUCUGGAGUAUGGGAGAGGGAACUGGAAUUCCCGGGGUAGCGGUGAAAUGCGUAGAUAUCGGGAGGAACACCAGUGGCGAAGGCGGGUUCCUGGCCCAUGACUGACGCUGAGGUGCGAAAGCCGGGGGAGCGAACGGGAUUAGAAACCCGUGUAGUCC